AGAGACGCAUUUAUUAGAUAAAAAGCCAGUUCAUGCUUUUACAGUAUGAAAAUUGGUGAUUUAUAAUAACUUAGCAAAUCGCAAAGUGAAAACAGGCGAUAAAUCAUUCAAGUUUCUGACCUAUCAGCUUUCGACGGUAUGGUAUUGGCUUACCGUGGCAGUGACGGUUAACGGGGGAUUAGGGUUCGAUUCCGGAGAGGGAGCCUGAGAAACGGCUACCACAUCUAAGGAAGGCAGCAGGCGCGCAAAUUACCCAAUUCUAACAGUUUGAGAGAGGUAGUAACAAGAAAUAACAAUACAAGGCAGUUAAAAUGCUUUGUAAUUGGAAUGAUAGAAAUUUAAACCCUUUUUAAAGUAUCAAUUGGAGGGCAAGUCUGGUGCCAGCAGCCGCGGUAAUUCCAGCUCCAAUAGCGUAUAUUAAAAUUGUUGCAGUUAAAAAGCUCGUAGUUGAAGUUCUGCUGAAAGUAACCGGUCUGCUUUUAAUAAAAGUGGUAUCUUGGUAUGUAUUUAGCAAUGAUGUCCUUUGAAGUGUUUUUUACUUUAUUGUAAUAAAGCAUAUUCAGGACUUUUACUUUGAGAAAAUUAGAGUGUUUCUAGCAAGCUGACGCUUUGAAUACUGCAGCAUGG
This 627-nucleotide ribosomal RNA is filed under the name Hepatozoon canis. Its description in RNAcentral is "bacterial SSU rRNA". It matches the Rfam family "Eukaryotic small subunit ribosomal RNA", at positions 197 to 812 of the family's 1831-position model. Lineage: Eukaryota; Apicomplexa; Hepatozoidae. The record is from RNAcentral.